RNAcentral lists this ribosomal RNA (468 nucleotides) under uncultured bacterium. Its description in RNAcentral is "partial 16S ribosomal RNA". It matches the Rfam family "Bacterial small subunit ribosomal RNA", at positions 28 to 507 of the family's 1533-position model. The record is from RNAcentral.
GACGAACGCUGGCGGCGUGCUUAACACAUGCAAGUCGAACGGAAAGGCCCUGCUUUUGUGGGGUGCUCGAGUGGUGAACGGGUGAGUAACACGUGAGUAACCUGCCCUUGACUUUGGGAUAACUUCAGGAAACUGGGGCUAAUACCGGAUAGGAGCUCCUGCUGCAUGGUGGGGGUUGGAAAGUUUCGGCGGUUGGGGAUGGACUCGCGGCUUAUCAGCUUGUUGGUGGGGUAGUGGCUUACCAAGGCUUUGACGGGUAGCCGGCCUGAGAGGGUGACCGGCCACAUUGGGACUGAGAUACGGCCCAGACUCCUACGGGAGGCAGCAGUGGGGAAUAUUGCACAAUGGGCGGAAGCCUGAUGCAGCAACGCCGCGUGCGGGAUGGCGGCCUUCGGGUUGUAAACCGCUUUCGCCUGUGACGAAGCGUGAGUGACGGUAAUGGGUAAAGAAGCACCGGCUAACUACGUG